Molecule: long non-coding RNA, 633 nt
Organism: Engraulis encrasicolus (European anchovy)
Lineage: Eukaryota; Metazoa; Chordata; Actinopteri; Clupeiformes; Engraulidae
Exons: 3
Source: RefSeq, a predicted model, not a curated record
GUCACAAUAUUACGUAAUCGAUUUUGCUGGACGGCAGAAGUACACAUUCGUACAUAGGAAUUAUAUGCAGACGAAGACAACUUUGACCAUAAAAUACCAAAGAAACACGUAGUUCUUGUAUUUUUUUUAAACGGGAUAUGUACCUGGCGUUAUCAGGCUAGGUUGGCCACGGUGGAUGUGUUCAAAUCAUAGAUUUAUUCAAAUGUAUUCUGCUCCACUAGAUGGCAUAACGCGGACGGGCGGUACGAGAAACUGGGAGAAGAAGAGAAAGUUGUUGCUUGCUUCCAGCCAUGAACUUACUCUGCCUGCGAUAUAUUUUUUUUAUCCCGUGUUUAUUUUCUUCAGUAAAGUUGUGAACUUAAACCAAACCUCUGCAUUGGCAAAAUAAGCACAUUUAUGCACCGUUUCUUCAUUGGUGGCUGGGCACCGCGGCUGCAUCCUCUUCUUCGUGGCAUGGCACAGUAAUUGCAGGUUCAUCAGUCAGGUGGUCAGCACCCAAACUAAAACCAUGCGUCAUGGUGGCCAGGAAUUGCAUCCCAGCAGCACAGAUGGGGGAGCCAACAUGAAGAGGUGUCUAGAAAGGCUUCUUCCUCUUUGGCUUUGCAGCAGCACCAGGACCUCACCAUCAGUGAU